UUUAUAUGGCCACUACAUCACAGAACUGAACCAUCUCGUAAUAAUCUUCAUCUUCUUCAUCACAAAACCUACCUUCUUUCUGGUUUUCACCAGCAGUAAUAUAUGCAAAUGAAGAAAGUAGUGUUGAAGGUGGAGCUACACAGUGAACGAAUCAAGCAAAAAGUUAUGAAAACAACCUCUGGCAUUUCAGGAGUUGAGUCAGUGAACAUAGACAUGAAGGACAAGAAAUUAACUGUAACAGGAGACAUCGACCCAGUUAAGGUAGGGAAAAGCUAAGAAGUUUUGUCAUACAGAGAUAGCGUCUGUUGGAGCAGCAAAGAGUCCGAGAAGAAAGAAGAUAACAAAACGAUAGAGAAUAUAGCUAAAAUGAUUGUGCCUGCUCCUUCGAGUUACGGCCAUGUUUAUUAUCCACCACCUUAUUAUGUUGGAACUGCGGAAGAAUAUCCUAAUAGUGGCUGUGUCAUUUUGUAAGCGAACGUGCUUUUGAAUCCGAUGAAACAGAGCCGCAUAUAGUAUCGAUGAAGAUAGGUGGAGUGCAAAGAAUAAAACUGUGUUAUUGUCAGUUUAUUACUUUAUAUGUAUGUCAUCUACCUCACAUAUGUAUUAAGAUUUAAAAAAAGAAACUUUUGUGUUUUAAUCAUAUAUAA
Long non-coding RNA from Neltuma alba, 647 nucleotides. RefSeq lists it as uncharacterized. The record is from RefSeq and is a predicted model, not a curated record. The transcript is spliced from 3 exons. NCBI's taxonomy places the organism in Eukaryota, Viridiplantae, Streptophyta, Magnoliopsida, Fabales, Fabaceae.